Molecule: ribosomal RNA, 344 nt
Filed under: uncultured bacterium
Lineage: Bacteria
Description: bacterial SSU rRNA
Rfam family: Bacterial small subunit ribosomal RNA
Source: RNAcentral
AGAGUUUGAUCAUGGCUCAGGAUGAACGCUAGCGACAGGCUUAACACAUGCAAGUCGAGGGGCAGCGGGGAGUAGCAAUACUUCGCCGGCGACCGGCGCACGGGUGAGUAACACGUGUGCAACCAACCCCGUACCGGGAGAUAACCCGCGGAAACGUGGACUAACAUCCCAUGAGACUCUAGAGCCGACAUGGCUCUAGAUUUAAAAUUCCGGUGGUACGGGACGGGCACGCGCGACAUUAGGUAGUUGGCGGGUAACGGCCACCAAGCCGACGAUGUCUAGGGGUUCUGAGAGGAAGGUCCCCANACUGGAACUGAGACACGGUCCAGACUCCUACGGGAGCA